RNAcentral lists this ribosomal RNA (509 nucleotides) under uncultured Glomus. RNAcentral's name for it is "SSU rRNA". It matches the Rfam family "Eukaryotic small subunit ribosomal RNA", at positions 569 to 1081 of the family's 1831-position model. The record is from RNAcentral. Lineage: Eukaryota; Fungi; Glomeromycota; Glomeromycetes; Glomerales; Glomeraceae.
AGCAGCCGCGGUAAUUCCAGCUCCAAUAGCGUAUAUUAAAGUUGCUGCAGUUAAAAAGCUCGUAGUUGAAUUUCGGGAUCAAUUUAUUGGUCGUGCUAUUGUACGUACUGGUAUUAUUGAUUCUUACCUUCUGACGAACCAUGAUGUCAUUAAUUUGGUGUCAUGGGAAAUCAGGACUGUUACUUUGAAAAAAUUAGAGUGUUUAAAGCAGGCUCACGCUUGAAUACAUUAGCAUGGAAUAACGAAAUAGGACGUUUGAUUCUAUUUUGCUGGUUUCUAGGAUCGACGUAAUGAUUAAUAGGGAUAGUUGGGGGCAUUAGUAUUCAAUUGUCAGAGGUGAAAUUCUUGGAUUUAUUGAAGACUAACUACUGCGAAAGCAUUUGCCAAGGAUGUUUUCAUUAAUCAAGAACGAAAGUUAGGGGAUCGAAGACGAUCAGAUACCGUCGUAGUCUUAACCAUAAACUAUGCCGACUAGGGAUCGGAUGAUGUUAAUUUUUAAUGACUCAUUC